Molecule: long non-coding RNA, 6236 nt
Organism: Culex pipiens pallens (northern house mosquito)
Lineage: Eukaryota; Metazoa; Arthropoda; Insecta; Diptera; Culicidae
Exons: 3
Source: RefSeq, a predicted model, not a curated record
AAAUUUGAAUCUCAAUUUUGCACAGAAAGUAAAUGAUAGAUUCCUGAAAAUUAUAAAAUAUUGUUCAUGCGAAGAAAACAAGUAAGACAUUUUUGUGGGAGAAACAAAAGUAGAAACUGAAGUAAAAUAUGACAGAGACGGGAGACGAAACACAAGGAUGAUCGACGCGUUCGUAUGCUGAGAGGUUCUACGCGUUCGUAUGCAGAAGUUUGUGAUGGCAAGAUGGUGAGUGGCAAAGUCAUGCGGGAGGUUGAACAGGUAACGGUGUUGAUGUUGUUGUAAAAGGUCAUAUCAAUGAGGAUCAAGUCGAAUUAAGACACAAUUCUAGUAACGAGACAUUCACGUAAAACAAAUUACCAAUCGAAAUGUGGAAUUAAGCGAAGUACAGACGAUGGAAAUGUGAAACAUCGAUAAUGGAACAAAAUGCAAGUUGAGAUCAUACUGCACGUCUGAAACUAUUGAAAAGGAGAAGAUCAUGAUAAACAAAUGAUAACAUCAUCCGAUGUCAUUAAUUUGCAAUAGCCAAAGUUGCAAAUUACACGAAAAUACAAUUUUGGACUAACAACUUGUCCUAAACAUUUGAUAAAAGAAUUACAUCAACCGAUGACAAUAAUUUGAGAAUGUCAAAGAUGCAAAGCAACUGGAAAAGUCAAUUUUGGACAAAAAUACUGGAUUUACGAACAAUUCACAAUACUCAGCAAGAGAGAAGUCAAUGCACUCUCAAAAUUGACCAUAGUCAACUCACAGCUGGGUUAUGAAGCAUAAUUCAUGAUGGAAACGACAAUUGCACUAAUCGACGAAAUUCAACACCUUAGCCUCGAAAACUGACCAAUUGACCAAGUCACUGUGGAAUGAUUAGCCUCACGAUAAAGACGAAUUUUGAUGGAAGACGACGACGAUAACAACCAGCCGAUCAACACAGUUCUACAACAACAACAAAUUUUGCUUACAGUGGGAAAAAUGCAAUUAUUUUUUUAGGAGAGAUAAUGAAAAUUAAUUUCAAAUGCAAGUUUAUUUAAAUCAGUUUCAAUGAAAAUAUUUUAACAAGAGAAGUUCAAAACAGUAAAUCAAGUAAUUUAACAGGACAGAAGAUCAAAAGAGUAAUGAAAAUAAUUUUAAAGUAGAAAAAUCAAAAGAACAAUUAUAAUUAUAAAGCAAUUUACAAGAAAGCACAAGAAGAACAAAUUGUAAACCGCGCGAUCACUACACCCGACAAUGUUCUUUCCAUAGAUGAUCAUUUCUUUCAGACGAUCAUCUAGCUGAUAAGUGUGGGGGAGAUUAACCGAACCAAUUUUUUUUGAAUCAUUUUUUUUAAAGCCAGCCAUUAAAGUAUCUUUUUAUGAAUUUUUGCAAAGUAAUUUUUACACAAUUUAAAUUAUUAACUUUGGGAAUAUUAUUUCAACCUACAAAUAACUUUCGAUAGAUGUUCUUAAUGCUUUUCAAGAAUACAAACAUCUAGCUGGUAAGUGUGGGGGAAUGCAGCGACCUCAAAUUUAAAUCAUUAAAUUUGUCCAUUUUUCGAACCUCACCACAGUUCUGACCAUGCGCGCUUACGCAAGCAUAAAUAAUUUUACCCGUCGACUCGCGUUGCGCGACAAACAAUUAAGCUUAUAUACAGGUGUGGAUCAUGAGUCAUCCUCACCUGAAAAGCCCUUUAUUAAAUUUCGCCAAUUGUUAGGCAAUCAAAAAAAUGGUUAAGCUUUCAAUUAUGAAUGUGCGAUGUUAUUACACAGGGGAAAUUGAGGGUGUGGCUUAACCAAAUUCAUUGGCAUGUUUGUUCAAUGGAGAAUUCGACCUUCUCAUUAUUGACCAACAUUUUUGAGAAUGUUUUAGGAACAUAAUUUUGAUAUUCCAAUAACAUAAUUUAAAGUUUCACGACAAUGGUUCGAACCCAUGACUUCCGAUUUUGAGGUGUACUCACUACACCAUACGGAAAGUCAUGAAGAAUUGCAGAGGUCUGCAUAAUUUAAUUCAUGAGGUUCAUCGAUGCUUCUCAUCGAAACGGACCACUUUUAGUAGAACAAAAUUUAGUAGAGUUUUCGGGGACUGACUAUAAAAACCCCAAAAUUCUUGAGGAGGGCAGUUAGUUCCAGUUAGUUCCAGUCAGUUCCAGCCAGUUCAAGCCCAGUCCAGUUCCAGAUCCUGAAGAAGCCCCAGACCAGCCGGACCCGCCAGCAGCCACCAGUAGCAGAGGCCCCAGUCCAGCCGGACUUAGCGGUGGAGGCCGCAGUCCGCCGGGACUUAGCCGCUGUGAAGAGUCCGCCGGGACUUAGCCGCUGUGAAGAGUCCGCCGGGACUUAGCCGCCGUGAAAAGUCCACCCGGGACUUAGGAGUUCGGGGUCUGGCAUGGCUCGGCGAAGAGGUCUGGAGGACAAGUCUGGCUUCAACGUAGAGAACUGGCUCGACGAAGAUCUUAAUGCAAAGUGAUGUGAUCGUGCGCGUAAAAGUUGAGAGUGUUACUGCAAAAAUGUAAUCUUUAAAAAGUGUAAUAUACAGAUAAGUGAAGUUUACUGAUCUGUUUUGACUCUACAAGUAAAUAUCACAAAAAUCCUGAAAGCCUAAACCGCUCGGGCCGUUCAGGUGGUGACUAGCGGAAAGCAACGCUGUGUGUGUUUGGAAUCGCCAUUAUGAUUGGACAAAACCGAGAGUUGAAAAUGUGACUAUGUGUGAAAGUUAAUGAACAGAAUGAUUUCGGGAAGUAACAAACAGUUAAAAUAGUGUAAAAAAAAAGUUUAAUUGAAGAAAAUGUUAUGUGAGGAGUUCUAAGAUGGAAGCUAAUGUGCAGCAGUACGAGAUGGAACCAAAACGGGCUCGACCAAUAGCAGAAGCAUCGAAAAUUUCAAAACCGGCCAACGAUGGACAACACUAGGGAUUCAACAAUGACGAGAUCAUCUGGAUCAACUGGAGACGAAAUUCAGCCGCAUCGAACACCCAAGAAGACGACCAUGGAAAUCUGGCAGUUUAGGAAUUUAUUUUCAGAAUGUUAUAUGCUUAUACGAAGGAUUUACAGGAAACCAUUGGAAGACGAUCAAGAAGACAACAAUUUCAACAAGAACGAAUAUGAACUACAGCUCAAGGAAAGGUAAAAUUUGUAAGUAUAUCGUGGGGAAUCAAAAAAGAUCGAAAAGGACGGUAUAAGUUCCGAUCUAGGGAUACAUAAACUGAUAAAGCAACGCCAAAGGGAUUAAAAAGUAGACAAUUGUACUCUACGGGGAGAGUUCUUAUGUCGAAUAAAGCUUCAAACAGUUGUAAUCCAUGGGGGGAUUCAAUAUGUUAAAAACAUUUCAAAACAUUUGCACUUUACGGGGUUAGUCAAAUGAAAAUUAAAGGGAAUGGAUAAAUAAUGCUUCAAGGGAAAAUCAAGGGAUAAAUAAUGCUUCAAGGGAUUUUCAAGGGAUAAAAUAAUGCUUCAAGGGAAAAACACCUUUAAACUGAUAAAAUUCAGAGGAAAAAAAUCAGAUCGUUAUCAUUAGAAUGAUAAUUGAACCAACUAAUUAUCUUGCAAAUUCAGCAUUUAUUGCGAAUUGCUCAAAUAAACAAAUUAAUUUAAUGGGUUUGACAAAUUUGAAAACACAAAGUGAUGUACAGAUUUCAUAAAAAGUUGGAAGAACAGAAAGGAUAUUCUAACAUGCGCAGUAUUGCAAUGACAAGAUGAUAGGAUGUAUAGAUCAAUGAAAAACUUUAUAGAGUAAUUUUCUUAUUCAAGUAUAAAAAUAAUAGUCAAUUAGAACUGAUUUUUUUUAGUAUUGAAAAUAAUAGAACUGAUUUCAUAUAAAAAUAUCAACAAGAUUUAUAAGAUUAAAACAAGUAAGACAUUUUUGUGGGAGAAACAAAAGUAGAAACUGAAGUAAAAUAUGACAGAGACGGGAGACGAAACACAAGGAUGAUCGACGCGUUCGUAUGCUGAGAGGUUCUACGCGUUCGUAUGCAGAAGUUUGUGAUGGCAAGAUGGUGAGUGGCAAAGUCAUGCGGGAGGUUGAACAGGUAACGGUGUUGAUGUUGUUGUAAAAGGUCAUAUCAAUGAGGAUCAAGUCGAAUUAAGACACAAUUCUAGUAACGAGACAUUCACGUAAAACAAAUUACCAAUCGAAAUGUGGAAUUAAGCGAAGUACAGACGAUGGAAAUGUGAAACAUCGAUAAUGGAACAAAAUGCAAGUUGAGAUCAUACUGCACGUCUGAAACUAUUGAAAAGGAGAAGAUCAUGAUAAACAAAUGAUAACAUCAUCCGAUGUCAUUAAUUUGCAAUAGCCAAAGUUGCAAAUUACACGAAAAUACAAUUUUGGACUAACAACUUGUCCUAAACAUUUGAUAAAAGAAUUACAUCAACCGAUGACAAUAAUUUGAGAAUGUCAAAGAUGCAAAGCAACUGGAAAAGUCAAUUUUGGACAAAAAUACUGGAUUUACGAACAAUUCACAAUACUCAGCAAGAGAGAAGUCAAUGCACUCUCAAAAUUGACCAUAGUCAACUCACAGCUGGGUUAUGAAGCAUAAUUCAUGAUGGAAACGACAAUUGCACUAAUCGACGAAAUUCAACACCUUAGCCUCGAAAACUGACCAAUUGACCAAGUCACUGUGGAAUGAUUAGCCUCACGAUAAAGACGAAUUUUGAUGGAAGACGACGACGAUAACAACCAGCCGAUCAACACAGUUCUACAACAACAACAAAUUUUGCUUACAGUGGGAAAAAUGCAAUUAUUUUUUUAGGAGAGAUAAUGAAAAUUAAUUUCAAAUGCAAGUUUAUUUAAAUCAGUUUCAAUGAAAAUAUUUUAACAAGAGAAGUUCAAAACAGUAAAUCAAGUAAUUUAACAGGACAGAAGAUCAAAAGAGUAAUGAAAAUAAUUUUAAAGUAGAAAAAUCAAAAGAACAAUUAUAAUUAUAAAGCAAUUUACAAGAAAGCACAAGAAGAACAAAUUGUAAACCGCGCGAUCACUACACCCGACAAUGUUCUUUCCAUAGAUGAUCAUUUCUUUCAGACGAUCAUCUAGCUGAUAAGUGUGGGGGAGAUUAACCGAACCAAUUUUUUUUGAAUCAUUUUUUUUAAAGCCAGCCAUUAAAGUAUCUUUUUAUGAAUUUUUGCAAAGUAAUUUUUACACAAUUUAAAUUAUUAACUUUGGGAAUAUUAUUUCAACCUACAAAUAACUUUCGAUAGAUGUUCUUAAUGCUUUUCAAGAAUACAAACAUCUAGCUGGUAAGUGUGGGGGAAUGCAGCGACCUCAAAUUUAAAUCAUUAAAUUUGUCCAUUUUUCGAACCUCACCACAGUUCUGACCAUGCGCGCUUACGCAAGCAUAAAUAAUUUUACCCGUCGACUCGCGUUGCGCGACAAACAAUUAAGCUUAUAUACAGGUGUGGAUCAUGAGUCAUCCUCACCUGAAAAGCCCUUUAUUAAAUUUCGCCAAUUGUUAGGCAAUCAAAAAAAUGGUUAAGCUUUCAAUUAUGAAUGUGCGAUGUUAUUACACAGGGGAAAUUGAGGGUGUGGCUUAACCAAAUUCAUUGGCAUGUUUGUUCAAUGGAGAAUUCGACCUUCUCAUUAUUGACCAACAUUUUUGAGAAUGUUUUAGGAACAUAAUUUUGAUAUUCCAAUAACAUAAUUUAAAGUUUCACGACAAUGGUUCGAACCCAUGACUUCCGAUUUUGAGGUGUACUCACUACACCAUACGGAAAGUCAUGAAGAAUUGCAGAGGUCUGCAUAAUUUAAUUCAUGAGGUUCAUCGAUGCUUCUCAUCGAAACGGACCACUUUUAGUAGAACAAAAUUUAGUAGAGUUUUCGGGGACUGACUAUAAAAACCCCAAAAUUCUUGAGGAGGGCAGUUAGUUCCAGUUAGUUCCAGUCAGUUCCAGCCAGUUCAAGCCCAGUCCAGUUCCAGAUCCUGAAGAAGCCCCAGACCAGCCGGACCCGCCAGCAGCCACCAGUAGCAGAGGCCCCAGUCCAGCCGGACUUAGCGGUGGAGGCCGCAGUCCGCCGGGACUUAGCCGCUGUGAAGAGUCCGCCGGGACUUAGCCGCUGUGAAGAGUCCGCCGGGACUUAGCCGCCGUGAAAAGUCCACCCGGGACUUAGGAGUUCGGGGUCUGGCAUGGCUCGGCGAAGAGGUCUGGAGGACAAGUCUGGCUUCAACGUAGAGAACUGGCUCGACGAAGAUCUUAAUGCAAAGUGAUGUGAUCGUGCGCGUAAAAGUUGAGAGUGUUACUGCAAAAAUGUAAUCUUUAAAAAGUGUAAUAUACAGAUAAGUGAAGUUUA